GCCCUCGUAGUAUAAAUCAAUACACUGGCCUUGUAAACCAAAAAUGGAGUACUCACCCCUAGGGCA
RNAcentral lists this transfer RNA (66 nucleotides) under Mandrillus sphinx (mandrill). RNAcentral's name for it is "tRNA-Thr". The record is from RNAcentral. Lineage: Eukaryota; Metazoa; Chordata; Mammalia; Primates; Cercopithecidae.